RNAcentral lists this ribosomal RNA (263 nucleotides) under uncultured bacterium. RNAcentral describes it as "partial 16S ribosomal RNA". It matches the Rfam family "Bacterial small subunit ribosomal RNA", at positions 29 to 289 of the family's 1533-position model. The record is from RNAcentral.
AUUAACGCUAGCGGCAGGCAUAAUACAUGCAAGUUGAACGGCAGCACAGGUAGCAAUACCGGGUGGCGAGUGGCGCACGGGUGCGUAACACGUAUGCAACCUACCCUAUACAGGCGAAUAACCUUUAGAAAUGAGGGCUAAUACGCCGUGGUAUUAUCUUGGGGCAUCUUGAGAUAAUUAAAGAUUUAUCGGUAUAGGAUGGGCAUGCGUCCCAUUAGUUAGUUGGUAGGGUAACGGCCUACCAAGGCGAUGCUGGGUAGGGG